GCCAUGGCGGGCAAUCAUCCCCGCUGUGGAGGGCUGUCGGGUUCCAGACCUACAAUUGUUGUUUUAUUAGUUGGGAAACGUGGAGUACCAGUGGAACUACAAAGUGUGAAGCCAGAAGUGGAAACAGGAUUUGGAAUAUUUGGGUUACGACCGACAUCGGCGCAAAUACUGAUUAAUUGUAAAAUCGAAUCUUUAUCGAAGAAACUGGCAGCCUGUAGGAAACUGACUGUGGCUGUUGAAUUGACAGGUGGCUCCCACAAUAUAGCUGACAGAAGAAAGCAACAUCAAAUCCUAUCUCUAAUUUUGCUAGAGAUGACUUUUCAACGUUGAGAAAGAAGAAGAAUCUGAACCCAAAGUAGAGCCAGAAGAACUUCUAAUACUAGUUUGCCAGCAGCCAUCGGAACGUAUACGCGCUCCAAGACGGCAUUAUUAUGGCAUGCCCUUGUUGGCUUGGUUCUGGUGGAGUCAUCACGGCAGUGGUACACCCACCAAAUCAAAAUCUCCUUACCAACCGACGUCAUUCUCAAGUGGAUAUGCAAGGCCGGCAGCUGACGUAUGUAAACCAGUACACGAGCAAUCCCCUUGCGGUCAGUAAGAACUGGACGUCAGACGAGAGACACUGUUAAUGUAACUUGUCGCUCAAGUUCUCCGUCAUCAAACCUUCAUCACUUACAUUACAUGUGACUUGGUGGCCCAGAUUUAGAAACACCAAGGCGUAUGAAAUUCAUCUCAACGGUCAAUUGAGUUGGACCGUAUCACGAAGUGAAGCAUCUAACCCGAUUUCAUUCAAGAUUUCCAUCACGGCCCCAAGAAUAACUCGCUUGGUGCUUGGAUCUACCCAUUGGAGAGGACUCAACUGUGGCUCACUUAACUGUUGCUGUUGAGCUGUUCCUUGGUGAUGGUUACGACGUGUAACGGCAGAUGCAUCCAGUAGGCUAUUUUGGUUAAUUGUCUUUGUGUCCAUGCAGUUAACCAUUUUUAUUUGAAGAAGAAACAAACAGAAAAAUUGGGAGUGUUUAUGUCCAACAAAUAAUCAACAUUUCUUUGCGAUUGGGAAAGUAACAAGAGGAAGUUGGGGAGAGGGAGAACUGACUUCCAUUUUUCUAAAGAUUUUGAUGUUUAUUGUUAAUGAAAACCGAUGCGGUGGGUAACUAAGGAUAAAAGCUUUAUUAACGGAAACUUGGGCAUUGAUCUUGGAUGUUGAAACCGGUGAGGGAAGUCUUCCCCGAAUGCCUAAACACAAAAUAGUAGGAACGCCUAAAUUGUCGCAACCCAUUGUCAUAGGAAUGAAGAUGGCUUGGAACUUGAGGUUUCUGCUAAGGAUUAACACAAAUAAAUCUGCUGCUAGUAC
Molecule: long non-coding RNA, 1351 nt
Organism: Daphnia pulex (common water flea)
Lineage: Eukaryota; Metazoa; Arthropoda; Branchiopoda; Diplostraca; Daphniidae
Exons: 5
Source: RefSeq, a predicted model, not a curated record